UACGAAGGGGGCUAGCGUUGCUCGGAAUUACUGGGCGUAAAGGGCGCGUAGGCGGAUAUCUAAGUUGGGGGUGAAAUCCCGGGGCUCAACCUCGGAAUUGCCUUCAAAACUGGGUAUCUUGAGUUCGGGAGAGGUGAGUGGAACUCCGAGUGUAGAGGUGAAAUUCGUCGAUAUUCGGAAGAACACCAGUGGCGAAGGCGACUCACUGGCCCGAUACUGACGCUGAGGCGCGAAAGCGUGGGGAGCAAACAGG
This 253-nucleotide ribosomal RNA is filed under the name uncultured bacterium. RNAcentral's name for it is "partial 16S ribosomal RNA". It matches the Rfam family "Bacterial small subunit ribosomal RNA", at positions 524 to 776 of the family's 1533-position model. The record is from RNAcentral.